CAGGUCUGUCUGUGUCUGAGGGAGGAGGUCUGUUUUUAUCUUUGGUUAUCUAGCUGUAUGAGUUUUAAACACCUGUCAUAAAGCUAGAUAACCGAAAGUAGAAAUGACUUCCAUGUUCACUCCCAAGAGUCGAUGAUGGGGAGGAGGCUGCAAGUGGAUUCUUACAUGAAAAGUUAACAGACCUGCCUGAAACAGCACAUGGACAGAAGUGAGGAAACCAUUGGUCCAGAUCCGGUCCCAUUUUGCCCUCUGAUGCCAUCUGCACUGCCAGCGGAGACACUUCUCCUGUGCCAGGAGGCGGACAAAGACCCUCCCCAGUUCCCUGGAGUAUAGGAGCCCGCUCAGAGGAGCCAUCUUGGGAGACGUUUGCCACGGCGCCUAAAAUGGCUGGGCUGGCACUUGAGAGCGGGACAAGAACUCAAAGAGGUCGAGAACCAAACCCAAAGGAAGGCCCUCAUCAGACACACAGGACUCUCAUGGACUGAAAAGAUUAUAAAAUCUCACGAUGUGUCGUCUGAGAAACUUCUCGUGUCUAAACAAAUGAAGCAUGUGACUGCACAAAUCUGGAUAAAUAUACUUGCAUUUUUAUUGCAUGCAAAAAUCCAUUGCAGCUAAUUAACGUUAGCAUUUUUUU
This is a long non-coding RNA of Nematolebias whitei (Rio pearlfish), 634 nucleotides long. RefSeq lists it as uncharacterized. The record is from RefSeq and is a predicted model, not a curated record. Lineage: Eukaryota; Metazoa; Chordata; Actinopteri; Cyprinodontiformes; Rivulidae. The transcript has 3 exons.